This 34-nucleotide small RNA is filed under the name Bombyx mori (domestic silkworm). RNAcentral describes it as "ovarian small RNA-4847". Lineage: Eukaryota; Metazoa; Arthropoda; Insecta; Lepidoptera; Bombycidae. The record is from RNAcentral.
CCUGAAAUGAGAAAGCGGUUUUAGAAGCAUCUUG